This 440-nucleotide ribosomal RNA is filed under the name uncultured bacterium. Its description in RNAcentral is "bacterial SSU rRNA". It matches the Rfam family "Bacterial small subunit ribosomal RNA", at positions 338 to 775 of the family's 1533-position model. The record is from RNAcentral.
CCUACGGGGGGCAGCAGUGAGGAAUAUUGGACAAUGGUCGAAAGACUGAUCCAGCCAUGCCGCGUGCAGGAUGACUGCCCUAUGGGUUGUAAACUGCUUUUAUACGGGAAGAAAAACACCUACGUGUAGGUGACUGACGGUACCGUAAGAAUAAGGAUCGGCUAACUCCGUGCCAGCAGCCGCGGUAAUACGGAGGAUCCAAGCGUUAUCCGGAAUCAUUGGGUUUAAAGGGUCCGUAGGCGGGCUAUUAAGUCAGAGGUGAAAGUUUGCAGCUCAACUGUAAAAUUGCCUUUGAUACUGAUAGUCUUGAAUUGUAGUGAAGUGGUUAGAAUAUGUGGUGUAGCGGUGAAAUGCAUAGAUAUCACAUAGAAUACCGAUUGCGAAGGCAGAUCACUAACUAUAUAUUGACGCUGAGGGACGAAAGCGUGGGGAGCGAACGG